AUUGAACGCUGGCGGCAUGCUUUACACAUGCAAGUCGAACGGCAGCACGGGGGCAACCCUGGUGGCGCGUGGCGAACGGGUGAGUAAUGUAUCGGAACGUACCCGGCAAUGGGGGAUAGCUCGGCGAAAGCCGAAUUAAUACCGCAUAUGCCCUGAGGGGGAAGGCAGGGGAUCGAAAGACCUUGCGUUGUCGGAGCGGCCGAUAUCCGAUUAGCUUGUUGGUGAGGUAAAGGCUCACCAAGGCGACGAUCUGUAGCUGGUCUGAGAGGACGACCAGCCACACUGGGACUGAGAAGCGGCCCGUCCGCCUACGGAAGGCAGCAGUGGGGAAUUUUGGACAAUGGGGGCAUCCCUGAUCCAGCCAUGCAGCGUGAGUGAAGAAGGCCUUCGGGUUGUAAAGCUCUUUCGGACGGAAAGAAAUCGCACUUGAUAAUACCUUGUGUGGAUGACGGUACCGUAAGAAGAAGCACCGGCUAACUCCGUGCCAGCCGCCGCGGUAA
RNAcentral lists this ribosomal RNA (500 nucleotides) under uncultured bacterium. RNAcentral's name for it is "partial 16S ribosomal RNA". It matches the Rfam family "Bacterial small subunit ribosomal RNA", at positions 30 to 523 of the family's 1533-position model. The record is from RNAcentral.